AGUGAACGCUGGCGGCGUGCUUAAUACAUGCAAGUCGAACGAUGAAGUCCUAGCUUGCUAGGAUGGAUUAGUGGCGCACGGGUGAGUAAUAUAUAGUUAAUCUGCCUUGCACUGAGGAACAACAGUUGGAAACGAUUGCUAAUACCUCAUACUCCAACUUUACAUAAGUUAAGUUGGGAAAGUCUUUUCGGUGCAAGAUGAGACUAUAUCGUAUCAGCUAGUUGGUAAGGUAAUGGCUUACCAAGGCUAUGACGCGUAACUGGUCUGAGAGGAUGAUCAGUAACAUGGAAACAGAACAACGGCACAAACCCCUCCGGGAGGAGGAAGAAGGAAUAAUGGUGAAAGGGGGAAAACCCGGAGGCACCACCGCGGGGGGGAGAAGAACAUUUUUGGGAGAAAAAUCUCCUUUUGUUAGGAAAAAAUAAGGACGGUACCUAACAAAAAAGCCCCGGCUAACUCCGUC
Molecule: ribosomal RNA, 463 nt
Filed under: uncultured bacterium
Lineage: Bacteria
Description: partial 16S ribosomal RNA
Rfam family: Bacterial small subunit ribosomal RNA
Source: RNAcentral